RNAcentral lists this unclassified non-coding RNA (401 nucleotides) under uncultured fungus. RNAcentral's name for it is "sequence contains ITS2". The stretch from base 1 to 152 matches the Rfam family "5.8S ribosomal RNA". Lineage: Eukaryota; Fungi. The record is from RNAcentral.
AACUUUUGGCAAUGGAUCUCUAGGCUCUUGCAGCGAUGAAGAACGCAGUAAAGUGCGAAAAGUGAUGCGAUUUGCAUGAAUCUGUGAGUCAUCUAGUUUUUGAACGCAAAUGGCACUCUUGUGUAAGCAGGAGUAUGUCUGUUUGAGAAUCCCAAAACCGAUCAACACCUGUGGGGGUUGGCAAUGGCGUUCCGUGCUGUCAUCAUGUGCGGUCUGCUUGAAUGCAUUCAGGUUGAUGAGCUCCGACUGAGCGUCAAAUGUGCUAAAAGACUGUGGUCUUUCGUCAUUUGGGUGCGCAGUUGCAAGGCUCUAGUACACAGCCUUUAAAUCAAUCUAUCUAAUAGGAUCUCAAAUCAGGCAAGAUUACCCGCUGAACUUAAGCAUAUCAAUAAGCGGAGGCU